This 506-nucleotide ribosomal RNA is filed under the name uncultured bacterium. RNAcentral's name for it is "partial 16S ribosomal RNA". It matches the Rfam family "Bacterial small subunit ribosomal RNA", at positions 29 to 523 of the family's 1533-position model. The record is from RNAcentral.
AGUGAACGCUGGCGGUAGGCCUAACACAUGCAAGUCGAACGGCAGCACAGGAGAGCUUGCUCUCUGGGUGGCGAGUGGCGGACGGGUGAGGAAUACAUCGGAAUCUACUCUGUCGUGGGGGAUAACGUAGGGAAACUUACGCUAAUACCGCAUACGACCUACGGGUGAAAGCAGGGGAUCUUCGGACCUUGCGCGUUUGAAUGAGCCGAUGUCGGAUUAGCUAGUUGGCGGGGUAAGGGCCCACCAAGGCGACGAUCCGUAGCUGGUCUGAGAGGAUAAUCAUCCACCCUGGAACUCGUACACGGUCCAGCCUCCUACGGUAGGCAGCAGGGGGGAAUAUUGGACAAUGAGUGCAAACCUGUUCCAGCCCUACCGCGUGGGUAGAGAAGGCCUGCGGGUUGUAAAGCCGUUUUGUUGGAAAAGAAAGCCGGCUGGUUAAUACCCGGUUGGGCUGACGGUACCCAAAGAAUAAGCGCCGGCUCACUGCGUGCCAGCAGCCGCAGUAA